UACGUAGGGUGCGAGCGUUAAUCGGAAUUACUGGGCGUAAAGUGUGCGCAGGCGGCAGAGCAAGUCGAGUGUGAAAACCCCGAGCUUAACUUGGGAAUUGCGCUCGAAACUACUUUGCUGGAGUGUGGCAGAGGAAGGUGGAAUUCCACGUGUAGCGGUGAAAUGCGUAGAGAUGUGGAGGAACACCAAUGGCGAAGGCAGCCUUCUGGGCCAACACUGACGCUCAUGCACGAAAGCGUGGGGAGCAAACAGG
This 253-nucleotide ribosomal RNA is filed under the name uncultured bacterium. Its description in RNAcentral is "partial 16S ribosomal RNA". It matches the Rfam family "Bacterial small subunit ribosomal RNA", at positions 524 to 776 of the family's 1533-position model. The record is from RNAcentral.